Molecule: ribosomal RNA, 497 nt
Filed under: uncultured bacterium
Lineage: Bacteria
Description: partial 16S ribosomal RNA
Rfam family: Bacterial small subunit ribosomal RNA
Source: RNAcentral
GAUGAACGCUGGCGGCGUGCCUAAUACAUGCAAGUCGAGCGAACAGACGAGGAGUUUGCUCCUCUGACGUUAGCGGCGGACGGGUGAGUCACACGUGGAUAAACUACCUAUAAGACUGGGAUACCUUCGGGAAACCGGAGCUAAUACCGGAUAAUAUAUUGAAUCGCAUGGUUCCAUAGUGAAAGACGGUUUUGCUGUCACUUAUAGAUGGAUCAGCGCCGCAUUAGCUAGUUGGUAAGGUAACUGCUUACCAAGGCACCGAUGCGUAGCCGACCUGAGAGGGUGAUCGGCCACACUGGAACUGAGACUCGGUCCAGACUCCGACGGGAGGCAGCAGUAGGGAAUCUUCCGCAAGGGGCGAAAGCCUGACGGAGCAACGUCGCGUGAGUGAUGAAGGUCUUCGGAUCGUAAAACUCUGUUAGUAGGAAAGAACAAAUGUGUAAGUAACUAUGCACGUCUUGACGGUACCUAAUCAGAAAGCCACGGCUAACUACGUG